UACGACUGCACCGGCUGGGCGAGGGCGCACCCCGGAGGCGCGCUCUUCAUCACCCUCAUGGAUGGCUGCGACGCCACCGACGUCUUCUACGCGCUGCACUCGUACGGACCCAACGGCGACGACACCGCCGCCAGGCGACUCGCCAUGCUCCCCACGUGUUUGGGUCCCGACGAGGAGCCCGACGAGCAGUUUGGUUCAUCCGAGGAUAAGAACUCCUCGGGCGUCCCCACCGCGUACGGGACCCUCCCCGACACCGGCGUGCACUCCAACGAUAACCUCCCGGGCGACGCAAACCCGGCGUUUGCGACGCUCAGGAAAAAGUUCGACGACGAGGGAUGGUUCAGGCGCGAUCCCCUGAAGGAGGCGGCGGUGCUGGGUACCACGCUCGGGCUGUACGCGAUCGGGUGGUUCCUGGCCAACUCGCAUCCGAUCCUCGCGGCGUGUUCCAUCGGCCUCGGGAUGCAGCAGGCUGGUUGGCUCGCGCACGAUUACAUCCACGGCCGCGGCAAGUGGUGCUCGAUGAUGCGCGGGUUCGGCUCGCUGACGAACGGUUUCAGCACCGAGUGGUGGCAGCACAAGCACAACAUGCACCACUCGUUCACCAACAUCGACGGGCGGGACGGUGAUAUCAAGCUCGAGCCCCUCUAUUUCCUCCAGUCGCCCGAGGUGACGGGGAGGCCCGAUAACCCGGGCUUCCGCAGGUGGCAGCACUGGUACGGGUACCCGCUCUACGCGUUCACCUACGUCCUCUGGCGCCGCCACUCGCUCGCGUCCGCGAUCCAGCGCAAGGAUAAGAAGGAGCUCGCCCUACUCGCGGUGCACUACGGAUGGCUCUUCGGCUGCUUGCCGCUCAGCGUGGCCAUCUCAUCCGUCCUGCUGGGCGGGUUCCUGGUGGGCGCCUUGGUGACGGCGACGCACCAGACCGAGGAGAUCAUGUUCGAGCAGGCUGGCGAGUUCGUGGACAUCCAGUUCCGGAGCACGCGGGAGGCUGACGUGGAUGGGCUGGAGCGAUGGCUGUGGGGCGGGAUGGACACGCAGCUCGUUCACCAUCUCUUCCCCACGAUGCCGAGGUACCGGCAUCACGCGGCGAGGCCGAUCAUUCAGCGAUGGGCGGCUGAGCACGGGUACGAUUUCAGGAUCUCCACGGCGAAGGAGAUCAUCGAGAAGAACUGGACCCACCUGAAGGAGAUGGCGGGGGUGAAGAUUCCCGCGCACAUCUAA
RNAcentral lists this long non-coding RNA (1221 nucleotides) under Micromonas commoda. RNAcentral describes it as "long non-coding RNA (MCOM_LNC000301)". Lineage: Eukaryota; Viridiplantae; Chlorophyta; Mamiellophyceae; Mamiellales; Mamiellaceae. The record is from RNAcentral.